RNAcentral lists this ribosomal RNA (1465 nucleotides) under Salmonella enterica subsp. enterica serovar Poona. RNAcentral describes it as "bacterial SSU rRNA". It matches the Rfam family "Bacterial small subunit ribosomal RNA". Lineage: Bacteria; Pseudomonadati; Pseudomonadota; Gammaproteobacteria; Enterobacterales; Enterobacteriaceae. The record is from RNAcentral.
AGUCGAACGGUAACAGGAAGCAGCUUGCUGCUUUGCUGACGAGUGGCGGACGGGUGAGUAAUGUCUGGGAAACUGCCUGAUGGAGGGGGAUAACUACUGGAAACGGUGGCUAAUACCGCAUAACGUCGCAAGACCAAAGAGGGGGACCUUCGGGCCUCUUGCCAUCAGAUGUGCCCAGAUGGGAUUAGCUUGUUGGUGAGGUAACGGCUCACCAAGGCGACGAUCCCUAGCUGGUCUGAGAGGAUGACCAGCCACACUGGAACUGAGACACGGUCCAGACUCCUACGGGAGGCAGCAGUGGGGAAUAUUGCACAAUGGGCGCAAGCCUGAUGCAGCCAUGCCGCGUGUAUGAAGAAGGCCUUCGGGUUGUAAAGUACUUUCAGCGGGGAGGAAGGUGUUGUGGUUAAUAACCGCAGCAAUUGACGUUACCCGCAGAAGAAGCACCGGCUAACUCCGUGCCAGCAGCCGCGGUAAUACGGAGGGUGCAAGCGUUAAUCGGAAUUACUGGGCGUAAAGCGCACGCAGGCGGUCUGUCAAGUCGGAUGUGAAAUCCCCGGGCUCAACCUGGGAACUGCAUUCGAAACUGGCAGGCUUGAGUCUUGUAGAGGGGGGUAGAAUUCCAGGUGUAGCGGUGAAAUGCGUAGAGAUCUGGAGGAAUACCGGUGGCGAAGGCGGCCCCCUGGACAAAGACUGACGCUCAGGUGCGAAAGCGUGGGGAGCAAACAGGAUUAGAUACCCUGGUAGUCCACGCCGUAAACGAUGUCUACUUGGAGGUUGUGCCCUUGAGGCGUGGCUUCCGGAGCUAACGCGUUAAGUAGACCGCCUGGGGAGUACGGCCGCAAGGUUAAAACUCAAAUGAAUUGACGGGGGCCCGCACAAGCGGUGGAGCAUGUGGUUUAAUUCGAUGCAACGCGAAGAACCUUACCUGGUCUUGACAUCCACAGAACAUUCCAGAGAUGGAUUGGUGCCUUCGGGAACUGUGAGACAGGUGCUGCAUGGCUGUCGUCAGCUCGUGUUGUGAAAUGUUGGGUUAAGUCCCGCAACGAGCGCAACCCUUAUCCUUUGUUGCCAGCGGUCCGGCCGGGAACUCAAAGGAGACUGCCAGUGAUAAACUGGAGGAAGGUGGGGAUGACGUCAAGUCAUCAUGGCCCUUACGACCAGGGCUACACACGUGCUACAAUGGCGCAUACAAAGAGAAGCGACCUCGCGAGAGCAAGCGGACCUCAUAAAGUGCGUCGUAGUCCGGAUUGGAGUCUGCAACUCGACUCCAUGAAGUCGGAAUCGCUAGUAAUCGUGGAUCAGAAUGCCACGGUGAAUACGUUCCCGGGCCUUGUACACACCGCCCGUCACACCAUGGGAGUGGGUUGCAAAAGAAGUAGGUAGCUUAACCUUCGGGAGGGCGCUUACCACUUUGUGAUUCAUGACUGGGGUGAAGUCGUAACAAGGUAACCGUAGGGGAACCUGC